GGUUAAAAAGCUCGUAGUUGGAUCUCGGCGGACUGAGGGCGGUUUGCUUGCUAGUAUUACUGCCCUAUAGUCCGUAGUUUUGCCAGAGGUUUCGGGGUGCUCUUAAUCGAGUGUCCCGGGAUGCUGGCAGGUUUACUUUGAAAAAAUUAGAGUGCUCAAAGCAGGCUAUUACGCCUGAAUAUUCGUGCAUGGAAUAAUAGAAUAGGAAGUCGUUUCUAUUUUGUUGGUUUUCGGAAAUCGACUUAAUGAUUAAUAGGGACAGUCGGGGGCAUUUGUAUUCAAACGACAGAGGUGAAAUUCUUGGACCGUUUGAAGACAAACUACUGCGAAAGCAUUUGCCAAGAAUGUUUUCAUUAAUCAAGAACGAAAGUUAAAGGUUCGAAGGCGAUUAGAUACCGCCCUAGUUUUAACCAUAAACGAUGCCAGCUAGCGAUCUGCGGACGUUUUUUUUGUAGACUCCGCAGGAAGCUUCCGGGAAACCAAAGCAUUUGGGUUCCAGGGGAAGUAUGGUUGCAAAGCUGAAACUUAAAGGAAUUGACGGAAGGGCACCACCAGGAGUGGAGCCUGUGGCUUAAUUUGACUCAACACGGGAAAUCUCACCAGGCCCGGACACUGGAA
Molecule: ribosomal RNA, 618 nt
Filed under: uncultured marine eukaryote
Lineage: Eukaryota
Description: SSU rRNA
Rfam family: Eukaryotic small subunit ribosomal RNA
Source: RNAcentral